Dromaius novaehollandiae (emu) is the source of this 229-nucleotide long non-coding RNA. RefSeq lists it as uncharacterized. The transcript is spliced from 2 exons. NCBI's taxonomy places the organism in Eukaryota, Metazoa, Chordata, Aves, Casuariiformes, Dromaiidae. The record is from RefSeq and is a predicted model, not a curated record.
GGAUAGAGGCUUUUGGGGCCACACCUUGCUCACAGAAACUUGAGUUGGAGCCAGCUGUGGUAAGCGCCAAUAAAAUCAGCAGCAGCUUUCACACUAAAUGUGUUGAGGCUGACUUUCCUUUCAGUACAAUGGAGGAUGAGAGUGCAAGCAGCCUCUGCUUAUGCUUCAGCCAGAAAGCAAGAUUCCUUCAUUGCACACAGUAAAGACUCUGUUGCUGUUAAUAAUCUGA